RNAcentral lists this ribosomal RNA (253 nucleotides) under uncultured bacterium. Its description in RNAcentral is "partial 16S ribosomal RNA". It matches the Rfam family "Bacterial small subunit ribosomal RNA", at positions 524 to 776 of the family's 1533-position model. The record is from RNAcentral.
UACGUAGGGUGCGAGCGUUGUCCGGAAUUAUUGGGCGUAAAGAGCUCGUAGGCGGUCUGUCGCGUCGAAUGUGAAAACCCGGGGCUCAACCCCGGGCCUGCAUUCGAUACGGGCAGACUAGAGUUCGGUAGGGGAGUCUGGAAUUCCUGGUGUAGCGGUGAAAUGCGCAGAUAUCAGGAGGAACACCGGUGGCGAAGGCGGGACUCUGGGCCGAUACUGACGCUGAGGAGCGAAAGCGUGGGGAGCGAAAGGG